GGGAUAUUGCACAAUGGGGGGAACCCUGAUGCAGCGACGCCGCGUGGGUGAAGAAGUAUUUCGGUAUGUAAAGCCCUAUCGGCAGGGAAGAUGAUGACGGUACCUGACUAAGAAGCCCCGGCUAACUACGUGCCAGCAGCCGCGGUAAUACGUAGGGGGCGAGCGUUAUCCGGAUUUACUGGGUGUAAAGGGAGCGCAGACGGGCAUGCAAGUCAGAUGUGGAAGCCCCGGUCACAACCCGGGGAGCGCAUUUGAAACUGCAGGCCUAGAGUGCUGGAGGGGCAGGCGGAAUUCCUGGUGUAGCGGUGAAAUGCGUAGAUAUCAGGAAGAACACCGGCGGCGAAGGCGGCCUGCUGGACAGCGACUGACGUUGAGGCUCGAAAGCGUGGGGAGCAAACA
This 399-nucleotide ribosomal RNA is filed under the name uncultured bacterium. RNAcentral describes it as "bacterial SSU rRNA". It matches the Rfam family "Bacterial small subunit ribosomal RNA", at positions 358 to 774 of the family's 1533-position model. The record is from RNAcentral.